UACAGGGGGUGCAAACGUUGCUCGGAAUUAUUGGGCGUAAAGCGCGCGUAGGCGGCUACUUAAGUCGGAUGUGAAAGCCCCAGGCUUAACCUGGGAACUGCGUCUGAUACUGGGAGGCUUGGAUUCGGGAGAGGGAUGUGGAAUUCCAGGUGUAGCGGUGAAAUGCGUAGAUAUCGGGAGGAACACCUGUGGCGAAGGCGGCCCCCUGGUUGGAUACUGACGCUGAUACGCGAAAGCGUGGGGAGCAAACAGG
Molecule: ribosomal RNA, 253 nt
Filed under: uncultured bacterium
Lineage: Bacteria
Description: partial 16S ribosomal RNA
Rfam family: Bacterial small subunit ribosomal RNA
Source: RNAcentral